RNAcentral lists this transfer RNA (71 nucleotides) under Phrynosoma platyrhinos (Desert horned lizard). RNAcentral's name for it is "tRNA-OTHER". Lineage: Eukaryota; Metazoa; Chordata; Lepidosauria; Squamata; Phrynosomatidae. The record is from RNAcentral.
GCCAGCAUGACAUAGUGGUUUGAGCAUUGGACUAUGACUCUGGAGAGCAGGGUUCGAGUCCCAUGUUGGCC